AGAUACGAGGGUGAUCUGGCUGCACCACAUUGAUUUCCAGGGUUGACUUGGCCAAUCUGGCUGCCUAGGCAGGUGUCCCCUUCACCACUCCAUGUGUAUACCUCCCAAAGCUGUUUUCUCAGGUGAAGAGGUGACCUUUCCUGAUAGAGGAGGAGCAUUCUUUUUGGGUCAAGGGUAUAUGAGUAGCUCUGCUGCCCUGCUAGAACCUCCAAACAAGCUCUCAAGGUCCAUUUGUAGAAGAACUUAGGGUUGAAUUUCCAAGAUUCCAGAUAUAUCCAAAUGAGGUGCUGCGUGAGGCAGUCUGCCUUCCCUA
This is an unclassified non-coding RNA of Vulpes vulpes (red fox), 313 nucleotides long. Its record names the gene 7SK. It matches the Rfam family "7SK RNA". From Rfam's summary of the family: 7SK was discovered as an abundant small nuclear RNA in the mid-70s but a possible function has only recently been suggested. Two independent studies have found that 7SK RNA binds the CDK9/cyclin T complex (known as elongation factor P-TEFb). P-TEFb activates transcription by phosphorylating the C-terminal domain of RNA polymerase II. Lineage: Eukaryota; Metazoa; Chordata; Mammalia; Carnivora; Canidae. The record is from Ensembl.